CGCCUCCUGAAACUUUCAAUAAGAGGUCCAACCUGCCCAGUGAAUUUUCAACGGCCGCGGUACCCUGACCGUGCUAAGGUAGCGCAAUCACUUGCCCUUUAAUUGGGGGCUAGUAUGAAUGGUCAAACGAAGGUGACCCUGUCUCAUUGAGGUUUAUUAAAAAUUAUCCUCCACGUGAAGAGACCUGACUAUUAUAGAAAGACGAGAAGACCCUGUCAAGCUUCUACAUUUCAUAUGUUCAUUAGCCCUUGUCACAUGUUAAAUGUUUUGUUGGGGCAACACAGGAACGAAAUCUUCCUUAAUACAACUAUUAUACCUCAAAAAAUCCGGCCAAAGCCGAAUAAAGACAAAGCUACUGCAGGGAUAACAGGCUAAUCUGCUUCAAGAGCUCACAUUGACAAGCAGGCUUGGCACCUCGAUGUUGGCUUAAGAACCCUUUUUGGGGCAGCCCCCAGAAAAAGGAGGUUUGUUCAACCUAUAACUUCUUA
This 488-nucleotide ribosomal RNA is filed under the name Sipunculus nudus (marine worm). RNAcentral describes it as "partial 16S ribosomal RNA". It matches the Rfam family "Bacterial large subunit ribosomal RNA", at positions 1817 to 2598 of the family's 2925-position model. The record is from RNAcentral. Lineage: Eukaryota; Metazoa; Annelida; Sipuncula; Golfingiida; Sipunculidae.